UUGACCUCGGAUCAGGUAGGAAUACCCGCUGAACUUAAGCAUAUCAAUAAGCGGAGGAAAAGAAACCAACAGGGAUUGCCCUAGUUACGGCGAGUGAAGCGGCAACAGCUCAAAUUUGAAAUCUGGCUCUCGGGCCCGAGUUGUAAUUUGUAGAGGAUGCUUUUGGCAAGGUGCCUUCCGAGUUCCCUGGAACGGGACGCCAUAGAGGGUGAGAGCCCCGUCUGGUUGGACACCGAGCCUCUGUAAAGCUCCUUCGACGAGUCGAGUAGUUUGGGAAUGCUGCUCUAAAUGGGAGGUAUAUGUCUUCUAAAGCUAAAUACUGGCCAGAGACCGAUAGCGCACAAGUAGAGUGAUCGAAAGAUGAAAAGCACUUUGAAAAGAGAGUUAAAAAGCACGUGAAAUUGUUGAAAGGGAAGCGCUUAUGACCAGACUUGGGCUUGGUUGAUCAUCCGGCGUUCUCGCCGGUGCACUCUUCCAGUUCAGGCCAGCAUCAGUUUGCCUCGGGGGAUAAAAGUAGCGGGAAUGUGGCUCCUCCGGGAGUGUUAUAGCCCGCUGCAUAAUACCCUGUGGCAGACUGAGGACCGCGCUUCGUGCAAGGAUGCUGGCGUAAUGGUCAUCAGCGACCCG
RNAcentral lists this ribosomal RNA (627 nucleotides) under Fusarium dimerum. RNAcentral's name for it is "eukaryotic LSU rRNA". It matches the Rfam family "Eukaryotic large subunit ribosomal RNA", at positions 1 to 651 of the family's 3401-position model. The record is from RNAcentral. Lineage: Eukaryota; Fungi; Ascomycota; Sordariomycetes; Hypocreales; Nectriaceae.